Long non-coding RNA from Zonotrichia leucophrys gambelii, 446 nucleotides. RefSeq lists it as uncharacterized. The record is from RefSeq and is a predicted model, not a curated record. The transcript is spliced from 3 exons. Lineage: Eukaryota; Metazoa; Chordata; Aves; Passeriformes; Passerellidae.
UCUGGGUGGGACAGGAAGGUGCAGCCCCAGCCUGGAGCCAUCCUCCCCACACAGCCUCUCCCCAGGGCUGGGGCUCUGCCCUGGUGAUUGAGGGAGGAGACUUUGUCCCCUCCCCGGGCACCCAAGCACCGACCUCCUGCUCUGCAGAGGCAGCAAACCCACCACAGCACCCUCUGAGGCCAGGGGACAAGAAGGAACAUGCACAGCCCUUCAGAAACUCCGGCUGGGCACAUUGCUGAGAACCUUCUCAAAGCCAAAGAAAUAGCCCUCAGUGACUCUCAUGUACCUGAACAGCUCAGGAAUUACUUACAAAAAGCUCUUGAUGUUGCUCUUGGACUAGACCCUUACCUGGAUGCAAUGGCAGCUUCCAAGAGAAAAACUUCACCUGAGCACAUCCCAGGGGAUGCUGAAGGAGUUGAAAGCAGUGUCAGGCUGCAGGAAACACG